GAGUUUAGCUUAGCAACAUAUAUACUAAAAUUGGAACAAGACAAAGAAGAUUAGCUUGGCCUCUGAGGAAUAAUGGCACACAAAUUUGUAAAUCAUCUAUUUUU
Small nuclear RNA from Trichosurus vulpecula (common brushtail), 104 nucleotides. NCBI's taxonomy places the organism in Eukaryota, Metazoa, Chordata, Mammalia, Diprotodontia, Phalangeridae. The record is from RefSeq and is a predicted model, not a curated record.